AACGCACAUUGCGCUUCCGGGAUAUGCCCGGUAGCAUACUUAUCUGAGUGUCUGUGAACACACCUCAGCAUCAACAGUACCAACUUGGUCUGAUAUGAUAGCUGGAAUAUGGGAAGUUGAUACAUCAUCUGAAUGUAUCUUUCCUUAAAUGUUAGCUUUAAUCCUCAUGUGAAUGAGGAAGAGAUUGAACAAAACUGGAUAACCAUGUUGUAUCUAGUCCUAUUCCUUCUCUCUGGUAAUGCUUCGGUAUUUAAAAGUGAGAUUUAAGACAAAAAGAUUGUGUGUUUAUUUGAUUUAUUGUCCCAAAGGGGAUUUAAGAUUAAGUAAGAUUACCCGCCGAAUUUAA
Molecule: unclassified non-coding RNA, 346 nt
Filed under: uncultured fungus
Lineage: Eukaryota; Fungi
Description: partial contains ITS1, 5.8S rRNA and ITS2
Source: RNAcentral